This 468-nucleotide ribosomal RNA is filed under the name uncultured bacterium. Its description in RNAcentral is "partial 16S ribosomal RNA". It matches the Rfam family "Bacterial small subunit ribosomal RNA", at positions 28 to 507 of the family's 1533-position model. The record is from RNAcentral.
GACGAACGCUGGCGGCGUGCUUAACACAUGCAAGUCGAACGGACAGGCCCUGCUCUUGUGGGGUGCUCGAGUGGCGAACGGGUGAGUAACACGUGAGUAACAUGCCCUUGACUUUGGGAUAACUUCAGGAAACUGGGGCUCAUACCGGAUAGGAGCUCCUGCUGCAUGGUGGGGGUUGGAAAGUUUCGGCGGUUGGGGCUGGACUCGCGGCUUAUCCGCUUGUUGGUGGAGUAGUGGCUUACCAAGGCUUUGACGGGUAGCCGGCCUGAGAGGGUGACCGGCCACAUUGGGACUGAGGUACGGCCCAGAAGCCUACGGGAGGCAGCAGGGGGGAAUAUUGCACAAUGGGCGGAAGCCUGAUGCAGCAACGCCGCGUGCGGGAUGACGGCCUUCGGGUUGUGAACCGCUUUCGCCUGUGACGAAGCGUGAGUGACGGUAAUGGGUAAAGAAGCACCGGCUAACUACGUG